RNAcentral lists this ribosomal RNA (245 nucleotides) under uncultured bacterium. RNAcentral's name for it is "partial 16S ribosomal RNA". It matches the Rfam family "Bacterial small subunit ribosomal RNA", at positions 524 to 768 of the family's 1533-position model. The record is from RNAcentral.
UACAGAGGUGUCGAGCGUUGUCCGGAAUUACUGGGCGUAAAGGGCGCGUAGGUGGGUUGGUAAGUCGGAUGUGAAAUCACUGGGCUUAACCCAGUAACUGCAUCCGAAACUGCCGGCCUUGAGUGCAGAAGAGGAGAGCGGAAUUCCCAGUGUAGCGGUGAAAUGCGUAGAUAUUGGGAGGAACACCAGUGGCGAAGGCGGCUCUCUGGUCUGCAACUGACACUGAAGCGCGAAAGCUAGGGGAG